Molecule: ribosomal RNA, 459 nt
Filed under: uncultured bacterium
Lineage: Bacteria
Description: partial 16S ribosomal RNA
Rfam family: Bacterial small subunit ribosomal RNA
Source: RNAcentral
CCUACGGGAGGCAGCAGUGAGGAAUAUUGGUCAAUGGGCGUAAGCCUGAACCAGCCAAGUCGCGUGAGGGAUGAAGGUUCUAUGGAUUGUAAACCUCUUUUGUCAGGGAACAAAAUGAGGGACGAGUGCCGUUCCGAGGGUACUUGAUGAAUAAGCAUCGGCUAACUCCGUGCCAGCAGCCGCGGUAAUACGGAGGAUGCGAGCGUUAUCCGGAUUUAUUGGGUUUAAGGGGUGCGUAGGCGGCCUGUUAAGUCAGCGGUAAAAGCCCGGGGCUAAACCCCGGCGAGCCGUUGAAACUGGGUGUCUUGAGAGUGCGAGAGGUAGGCGGAAUGCGCGGUGUAGCGGUGAAAUGCUUAGAUAUCACGCAGAACCCCGAUUGCGAAGGCAGCAUACCGGCGCCUGACUGACGCUGAGGCACGAAAGCGUGGGUAUCGAACAGGAUUAGAUACCCGUGUAGUC